RNAcentral lists this ribosomal RNA (484 nucleotides) under uncultured bacterium. RNAcentral describes it as "partial 16S ribosomal RNA". It matches the Rfam family "Bacterial small subunit ribosomal RNA", at positions 30 to 507 of the family's 1533-position model. The record is from RNAcentral.
AUUGAACGCUGGCGGCAGGCCUAACACAUGCAAGUCGAGCGGAUGAAGGGAGCUUGCUCCUGGAUUCAGCGGCGGACGGGUGAGUAAUGCCUAGGAAUCUGCCUGGUAGUGGGGGAUAACGUCCGGAAACGGGCGCUAAUACCGCAUACGUCCUGAGGGAGAAAGUGGGGGAUCUUCGGACCUCACGCUAUCAGAUGAGCCUAGGUCGGAUUAGCUAGUUGGUGGGGUAAAGGCCUACCAAGGCGACGAUCCGUAACUGGUCUGAGAGGAUGAUCAGUCACACUGGAACUGAGACACGUUCCAGACUCCUACGGGAGGCAGCAGUGGGGAAUAUUGGACAAUGGGCGAAAGCCUGAUCCAGCCAUGCCGCGUGUGUGAAGAAGGUCUUCGGAUUGUAAAGCACUUUAAGUUGGGAGGAAGGGCAAUAAGUUAAUACCUUGCUGUUUUGACGUUACCAACAGAAUAAGCACCGGCUAACUUCGUG